RNAcentral lists this ribosomal RNA (253 nucleotides) under uncultured bacterium. Its description in RNAcentral is "partial 16S ribosomal RNA". It matches the Rfam family "Bacterial small subunit ribosomal RNA", at positions 524 to 776 of the family's 1533-position model. The record is from RNAcentral.
GACAGAGGCCCCAAGCGUUAGGCGGAAUCACUGGGCUUAAAGCGUGUGUAGGCGGAUCGUUAAGUGUCUUGUGAAAUCCCACGGCUCACCCGUGGAACUGCUGGGCAUACUGGCGAUCUUGGGCCAACUAGGGGCAGCCGGAACAAGCGGUGGAGCGGCGAAAUGCGUAGAUAUCGCUUGGAACGCCGAAGGUGAAAACAGGCUGCUGGGGUUGCGCCGACGCUGAGACACGAAAGCCAGGGGAGCAAACGGG